AAAAUUGGCAGUGAAAUUAGUAAGGAUGAAGACUGUUAUAAUAGCAAUUCUGCUUUCUUCUAUUAUCAAUGAGAGUUACGCCCAAGUCGCCGGUGCUGUACUUGGACUCGUGAAUAACACGGUACAAGGUGCGGGGGACGUCGUCGAUGCAGCAAUUCCUCCAGGAACUAUUCCCGGUGUUAAUGCUGGUGACACUGUUCGAUCUCUUGGACAAAUUCCCGGAACAGCGCCUUAGUAUAAACUGAAGUGGUCCAUGUGUUUUUAAGAAAGUCUAUCGUCUUACUUUACUUAUAAAUAAAC
Papilio polytes (common Mormon) is the source of this 300-nucleotide long non-coding RNA. RefSeq lists it as uncharacterized. The transcript is spliced from 8 exons. NCBI's taxonomy places the organism in Eukaryota, Metazoa, Arthropoda, Insecta, Lepidoptera, Papilionidae. The record is from RefSeq and is a predicted model, not a curated record.